UGGGUGUCCAUCAGUACUUAUGGGGAGCUGCACAACUGUGAGCUGCAGCUGAGUUCACAUCAACACCCACAGGAUGAAGGACACACUCUCACUGAUACUGCUACUCAGCACCAUAGCAUUGGUGAGAAGCCAAAGCAUGGAGUCCAUUCCCUCCAGUGCAGUGCUGAAGAAACCUGGUGACACUCUCAGUCUCUCCUGUAAAGGAUCUGGGUUUACUUUUGGAAGUUAUGGCAUGAACUGGAUCAGACAGCCUGCUGGGAAAGCACUGGAGUGGAUAGGUUAUAGUGGCAGCUAUGCCGACAGUGUCCAAGGACGCAUAGAAAUCACCAGAGACAACCCCAACAGCAUGGUGUAUCUGAAACUGUCUGGUCUGAGGGCAGAGGACUCUGCUGUGUAUUACUGUGCAAGACAGGCACAGUGA
Sardina pilchardus (European sardine) is the source of this 421-nucleotide non-coding RNA. NCBI's taxonomy places the organism in Eukaryota, Metazoa, Chordata, Actinopteri, Clupeiformes, Clupeidae. The record is from the annotation of a RefSeq genome assembly.